Megalopta genalis is the source of this 1233-nucleotide non-coding RNA. The record is from RefSeq and is a predicted model, not a curated record. NCBI's taxonomy places the organism in Eukaryota, Metazoa, Arthropoda, Insecta, Hymenoptera, Halictidae.
CAUUUUAAAGCGUUCAUAUGUGCAUCCCUGAAUGCUAAGAAACUAGUGGCUUGGUUGAAACUGAUCUUGCAAUGCCAGUACCUUCUCGAGAAUCAUUAUGCAUCGUGGAGUUAUGUCGUAAAAACAGGUUUCCAAGAUGCGUUUCACACUCUCGAUCGUCUUACGAAUUAUAAGUUCGACCUACCAGUGGACCUGGCGGUAAGACAAUUCCAAAACAUAAAGGAUGCGUUUUGAUUGCGAAGCAAGAUGAUGUUCGUCAUUAUACGACUAUGGGUUAGUCAAUUUUAGUGAACAAAGUACACGGACAACGUAAACGAGAGUCAGUACAUUUUAACUUUUACGUUGACUUUACACGGAUCCAUUGUAUUUUAAAAGUAUUCUUUCGUGGCGAUCAUUCUUUUCUCUCAUUCUCUGAGCGAUCAUUAGUGGAAGAUUAUUAAACGCAAUAAUGUAGCUGUAAUAAUUUCGAGUAUCAGUAUUGCUGUGUUUAAUCCCCAGAGAGGGUCUGGGUUUUUAAUUACUCUAUUUUAAGAACGUCUCGCUCUGUGAGAUCUAAGAGGAAGGUAAUCUCUGAUGCCUGUGGAGACUUAACGACGAUACGUAUAGAGAUAUAUUGCGACUUUACAGCACAGGUAUAAAUGCAAUGCUGCCUGAUAUAAUAUGGACUGAUAACAUAUUACGUAGUUAUUUUGAGGUACAUUUUCGGAUACUGCACGUUCUCAAGAAACAAUAGACAUUUUCUUUGUACCAUUUAACGAGUAACGUUAAAUCGAUUUUAUAGAAUUGAGAACCGGGGUCAUCGCUGUGAUCAAAAUUAACUGAAAUUUCUUACUAAAUCUUCUCGCGAAAAACUGUUAAGAAAGUCACGUUACUCCUUAUUAGAUAUCGAACGAGAAACCAAAGACCAACAUUUCUUUUUAAUCAUUGAGAAGAAUAUUACUCUUUAGUUCUUAGUACCUCUUCGCAUGUUAAAGUUGAUGAGUUUGCGGUAACAUAUCAUCGAGACAGUAGUUAAAUCUUGUAACAUAUAAACAGUAUAUACCAUGCAUAAUCGUCGAUGUUGUAAUAUAUUGUCAACAUUUUAUCUUUGUUGUGUUUCAUAAAUCUAUAUCAUUGAUUUAUCUUCUCAUUUUCACGUUCACAUAUUGUAUAUGCGUUAAUAUAAAUGUGUAAGAUUCGGCUUUAGUUAGUCAUCACUGUUGAAAAAAAAGAAAAAAAAAGUGCAGAUCAUCG